RNAcentral lists this long non-coding RNA (341 nucleotides) under Mytilus galloprovincialis (Mediterranean mussel). The record is from RNAcentral. Lineage: Eukaryota; Metazoa; Mollusca; Bivalvia; Mytilida; Mytilidae.
CAUGAAUAUUAUACAAUUACUGUCUUUUGAUGAGGUAAAUAUGCGGUUUUAUUGACUUUUGAAAAAAUGAUAUUCACUGAGGCCGACGGCCGAAGUGAAUAUCAGUUUUUCAAAAGUCAAUAAAACCCCAUAUUUACCGAAACAAAAGACAGUAAUUGUUUUAUUCCAUAGUCCGAGAGAAGAAAAUGUAUCUAAUGACAAACAUAUACCAAUUUUUUUUUUACAUGAAAUUUUACCAUGACGUUGCAUGUAAAAGCGCGUGACGUUUAGCGCCGUGAAUAACACUUUCACAGGUGAAUAUGCUUUUUUAUUCAAAAUCCAAUUCAUAUAGAAAAGCCUAC